GUAGGGGGCAAGCGUUAUCCGGAUUUACUGGGUGUAAAGGGAGCGUAGACGGAAGUGCAAGUCUGAAGUGAAAGCCCGGGGCUCAACCCCGUGACUGCUUUGGAAACUGUGCUUCUAGAGUGUCGGAGAGGUAAGCGGAAUUCCUAGUGUAGCGGUGAAAUGCGUAGAUAUUAGGAGGAACAUCAGUGGCGAAGGCGGCUUACUGGACGAUAACUGACGUUGAGGCUCGAAAGCGUGGGGAGCAAACAGGAUUAGAUACCCUGGUAGUCUACGCCCUAAACGAUGUCUACUAGUUGUUGGGAGAGCAAUCUCUUGGUAACGCAGCUAACGCGUGAAGUAGACCGCCUGGGGAGUACGGUCGCAAGAUUAAAACUCAAA
RNAcentral lists this ribosomal RNA (378 nucleotides) under uncultured bacterium. RNAcentral describes it as "bacterial SSU rRNA". It matches the Rfam family "Bacterial small subunit ribosomal RNA", at positions 527 to 905 of the family's 1533-position model. The record is from RNAcentral.